UAUGAGUUUAUACGAAGUAGGGUUAGGUGUGUGGUUUGUCGACAUGCCUCCUUUUAAAACUCGUACAAAAUUGUAUGAGUUUAUACGAAGUAGGGUUAGGUGUGUGGUUUGUCGACAUGCCUCCUUUUAAAACUCGAACAAAAUCGUAUGAAUUAGUUCGAAGUAGGGUUAGGUGUGUGGUUUGUCGACAUGCCUCCUUUUAAAAAUCUAACAAAAUCGUAUGAAUUAGUUUGAAGUAGGGUUAGGUGUGUGGUUUGUCGACAUGCCUCCUUUUAAAAAUCGUACAAAAUUGUAUGAGUUUAUAUGAAGUAGGGUUAGGUGUGUGGUUUGUUGACAUGACUCCUUUUAAAAAUCGAACAAAAUUGUAUGAAUUAGUACGAAGUAGGGUAAGGGAUAGGUGUUCGGUUUGUCGACAUGGCUCCUUUUAAAAAUCAUAUAAAUUAGUACGAAGUAGGGUUAGGUGUGUGGUUUGUUGACCUGCCUCUUUUUAAAAAUCGGGGAAAAUUGUAUGAAUUGGUGCGAAGUAGGGUUAUAAAUAGGUGUGCGGUUUGUUGACAUGCCUACUUUUAAAAUUGUACAUUUUCAUAGAAAUUAAUUUGUAUGAAUAAGGGUUAGUGGUAGGGUGUGUUGACAUGCCUUCUUUUUAAGUUCGUACAUCUUCACAUGAAUGAAAUCCUAUAGGUUUGUUUGAAUUAGGGUUAAGUGUGUGGUUGGUUGACAUGCCCCCUUUUUGAAAUCGAACGUCUUCAUAUGAAUGAAAUUGUAUGAAUUUGUUCGAAUUAGGUUUAGAAGUGUGGGUUUGUUGACACUUGUCUUUUUAAAAUCAUGUGAAUUUGUACGAAUUAGGGUGAGGUGUGGUGUUUGUUGACAUGCCUCCUUUGUAAAAAUGUUACAUUUUCAUAUGAAAUUAUAAGAAUUUGUACGAAUUAGGGUUAGGAGUGGGGUUUAUUGACACGCCUCCUUUUAAAAAUUGUACAAAAUCAUAAGAAUUUGUUCCAAUUAGGGUUAGGAUUAGGUGCGGGGUUUGUUGACAUGCCUCCUUUUUAAAAUCGUACAUCUUCCUAUUAAUGAAAUCGUAUGAAUUUGUACGAAUUAGGGUUGGGGGUGUGGGUUUGUUGACACCUCUUUUUAAAAAUCAUACAAAAUUGUAUGAAUUUGUAAAAAUUAGGGGCUAGGUUUGGGGUUAUAUGACACAACUUUAUAAAAACGACAUUAUCCAAAUAAUGAAAUUGUAUGAAUUUGUACGAAUUAGGGUUAUGUGUGGGGUUUGUUGACACACCUCCUCAUGAAAAUCGUGCAAAAUCAUAUGAAUUUGUACGAAUUAGGGUUAGGCUCGGAGUUUGUUGACAUGCCUCCUUAUAAAAAUCGCGCAAAAUCAUAUGAAUUUGUACAAAUUAGGGUUAGGAGUGGGUUUUUUUUUGACAUGCUUCCUUUUAAAAAUCGCGCAAAAUCAUACAAAUUUGUACGAAUUAGGGUUAGGCUUGGAGUUUGUUGACAUGCCUCCUUAUAAAAAUCGCUCAAAAUCAUAUGAAUUUGUACGGAUUAGGGUUAGGCUUGGAGUUUGUUGACAUGCCUCCUUAUAAAAAUCGCGCAAAAUCAUAUGAAUUUGUACGAAUUAGGGUUAGGAGUGGUUUUUUUUGACAUGCUUCCUUUUAAAAAUCGAGCAAAAUCAUACGAAUUUGUACGAAUUAGGGUUAGGUGUGGGGUUUGUUGACAUGCUUCCUUUUGAAAAUCGCGCAAAAUCAUAUGAAUUUGUACGAAUUAGGGUUAGGCGUGGGGUUGGUUGACAUGCUUCCUUUUAAAACUUGUUUCAUUUGAUUGAAAUCAUAUGAAUUUGUACAAAUAGGGGUUAGGCAUGGGGUUUUUAAAAAUCAUACGUUUUCAAAUCGUAAGAAUUUGUUUGAAUUAGGUUUACGUGUUGGGUUUGUUGACACCCCAUUUUCACAUGAAUGAAUUUGUACGAAUUAGCCACUUUUCUGACAACACAUACAAUAGUUACGUUUCCCCGUGCGAUUGUGUUGGUGAAUACAGUAUGCAAAGCACAGUCGUGGUUUCCUUUGGAGCCAGACUUGCGAAUGCGGUAAAAUAUGUUCAGCUUAAAAAAAUUGAGAUUUCAGCUCAAUAUCUUGUAUUGAUGUUUAAUAUCAUGUUAAACCAGUGACAUACAGAGAGAUUUACCCAUGAUGAGAACUUCUAAAGAUGCAACAUCUUAUUUGUACCAACCUCUUGUUACGCAUUUUGCACAUUAUAGGCAUAUUUAAUAUUUAUGUAGUCAGCUUUGUGCUAUGCAAGAAUAGCUUGAACCAUAUUAAUUAGCUCCUCACCCCUCCUCACUGUUGUUUUCAGUAUAAAUAUAUAUAUUGUACAAAGUCAGCGACAGAAACUGCGCACCCGUGGGACUGAUGAUGGGUGGCUCAGAUUUGAAAUAGUCCAUUUCAAAGACAUUGUAAAGCGGCAAUAAGAAAAAGAUGGAUUAAAAAGAAUAAUUUAGUGUAUUAUGUCAUGCACACAACAAUGAAUAGAUACGUUUAGAUUGUUCUGUUGCAUCUAAUACUAUAUUUUUGAUGACCUGUGUUAUGGAUUAAGAAUUUGUACUUUCAUUUGUUUUAUUAUAGCAUUUUAUUUCAACAGAUUGUGAAAGUGGUUUCAUUUGGGGUUUCGCAAUGGAGAAAUCCAUCACAUACUGUAAUUUAAACAAUAUAUAAAUAUAUAUAUAUAUAAAUAUAUUUGUGCUUGGAAAGGAGUAACUACUGACUUUAAAGGAUGGGCGUGUGCAAACAUGUUCAUAGGCACAAACAGCUGUGUGCACAAGUCCAGAGGUCAUGUAUGAUUUAUUCUGUACUGUACACUGGGAAAUGGCUAAUGUCUUUGUAAAGGUAUGCUUUCUUAAUGUUAUGGCCCUGUAGAAUUUGAUUCUCUUCAUUAGUCAUACAAUAAAAGAAAAAAGAAAUCUAUAUAUUUUGUCAUUUUUGAAGCUAUACAUAAUUAUUGUUUAAUCUUCAUCUUUAUUACAGUCAUAUUCACAGAAGUCUUCAGAAAAUGUAAGACAUUGGCUGCAUCUAAAAUCGCCUACUACUCAAGUAGGUACAUUUGGAUUAGAAUUUACUACACGACCAUUAGAAAAGUAUAUUCUGUAUAGUAUGAAGUGAGGAGUAAUAAAAAUCCAAAGUACUACAUCCAC
Long non-coding RNA from Danio rerio (zebrafish), 3181 nucleotides. NCBI's taxonomy places the organism in Eukaryota, Metazoa, Chordata, Actinopteri, Cypriniformes, Danionidae. The record is from Ensembl.